AUGGACGAUAAUAGCGACGAUACAUCAAUGGAAUACGAAAUAAAAAAGAGUUUGAUGACCCGGAACAAAUUAGCUAUAAUAAUAAAAGGGAACAACGGUAGUUUCCAGUUUGGUUGCGUUUAUUGUACGUACAAGGCGAACACUAAGAAGGCGUUGGAGAAACAUUUGCUAGUGCAUAACAAGCAAUACAGAUAUCUGUGCGGGAUUUGCGGAACUGGGUUAAAACGCAAAGAACAUUUAGAGAGACACACGCUCGAGCACAUGGAGAUAAGACCUCACGUUUGUCCUGAAUGCGGGAAAGGAUUCAAAAGAAAAGAACAUUUGAACAUACAUUUCGCUACACAUACCGGCAACAAGAGCCAAGAGUGCUUUGUGUGUAAAAAAUCGUUCUACCGGAAGGAUCAUCUACAGAAACACAUGCAGACGCACAACAAAAACUUAGCGAACAAAUUGUAUAUAAGCGAGCAAAUGUUGAAAAUCAAACAGGAGGCCAUGGAAAUGCUGGACGAUGAUAACGUUGAAAUAGAAAUCCGGGAUAACUACGAUCAGCCCACGGUUAAAAUCAAGGAGGAAAACUUUAAUGCUAUAUUCGAAAAGAAUUACAUCAAAAUCGGAACCGGAGAGAGGCCGUUCAUAUGCCUCAUCUGCAACAAGACGUACAAACGUAAAGAUCACCUCAAGCUGCACAGCAUGACGCAUAUGGAGAAGGACAAGGUCUGCUCGGAGUGCGGGAAAGCCUAUCAUAAGGAAGAACAGCUGAUGGCGCAUAUGAGCACACACAUGAAUCAGCCCGCGAACGAGAUAGAGGAGAUGCCUCUUGUGCAGAACUUAUACACCGAUCAGUCGAAUUUCUUUACCACGGAUAACAGUCUUUUAAUACCACGUUCAGAGUACAAGGCCGAACGGAAACAUAUCUGCUCGAUCUGUCAGAGGCGCUUUAAGCGGAAGCAACAUCUCAAAAUACAUCUAAAUGUACAUGUGAAGGAUAUAAACGACGGUGGAUCACUCUGGUGCUCAAUUUGUAACGAAGAACUAGCAUCGGCGUCUGAUUUAAACAACCACGAAUGUGCCGUGGGGCAAGACGAGUGUCCAAGCGAAGGGGAACAACAGCAGGCGACUCCGGAGGGAGCCAAGAAAGAGAAUACUUUGCCACACGAAUUCGUAUGUGUCGACAUGGGGCCCCAGGACAGCUCCCAGGUGGUGCUCGUCAAGGACGAACGCGACCUGCCCGUGCCCAGGCGCGUCUACGUCUGUAAAUACUGUUCGAAGACAUUCAGGAGGAAAGAUCAUUACAAAAUACAUUUGAACAUACACACCGGAAUUAAAUCGUUCUUCUGUCCCGAUUGUGGGAAAGGAUUCUACCGCAAGGACCACCUGCAAAAACACACGCAAGUGCACGCCAAAGCCAAACUAGUUGUGAUGCCAAAGAUAAAGAGUCUGCCGGGUCUGUAUCCGAUAAACUCAAUACCAAAGAAGAAGGAAAUAAAACCGGAAAUUACCAUACACGCCCCAUCCAACUCGAAGCUGCGUGUGCCGCUACAGAUCAAAGUGCCAUAUCAAAUGGUGAUGUCGAACGAGAACGGAGAGAGGCACGCCGUCACCAUCGACCCCGCCACCGACACAGUGCUAUAAACAACAUAGAUAGAACAUUUUAAAUUAAAAUCAUAAUUGAGAAGCGUUUAAAAACAACCGAAAACACGUGCAAAGAGUCAAUAAAAAAAUAUUUAUUUAGUUAACUAAGUACUAAAUAGCACAAACUAUUAGUCGUUUUUCGAAAUGCAUGUAUUGUACAAAAUAGCACUAUUAAGAUUAAUAAGUAUAUUUAUAAAUACGUUAAGGGCCAUCGGUACAAGUUAAUAUGUCUUAAACUGUUUGGAAUCUAAUGUGAUUAGUCGAGGUGUGUUGUUAGUAUUGGUAUUACCGAUAUCAGAUGAUACUAAAAAUCAAGCAAUAUUGUAUGUAAUAUGUAUCUUAUAGAAUAUCAGAUCUACAUAGUAUUUAAUAUUUUUCUAUACUUCGACAUGGAAUUAAUUGUAUUCUUAAUAAAAGCGAAUUCAUAUCACAGAUCAGUGAUAAUAGCUAAUCCGAUACGAUAAGUUGGUGUAUGUAUUAUUGAGGAAAUAACGGGUCAUGAAUUACGUUACUGGGUGAAGCUCACUGCCUACUCUGAGUUACGUGCCCAAUGAAGCCAUUCCUCCUCCCAUUUGGAGAUAUGAGGUUGAAAUCUCAAUUGUGUAGUGCAACGGCUGUCUCACACUUCAAACCUCAAAGCAUAUUACUGGUGGUAGGACCUCUUGUGAGUCCGCAGUAUCUAUAUAUAUAUACGCUAUCUCUGCCGUGAAG
This 2343-nucleotide unclassified non-coding RNA is filed under the name Bombyx mandarina (wild silkworm). Its description in RNAcentral is "zinc finger protein 484-like, transcript variant X2". Lineage: Eukaryota; Metazoa; Arthropoda; Insecta; Lepidoptera; Bombycidae. The record is from RNAcentral.